CCUUUCCUGUCUUAUUAGUCAAGCUUAAUGCUUGAAUUUUUCUCCUUAAUUUCGAUUGCUUUUUCUCAUGACAAAAAUGGACGAUUAUGGCUUGGAAAAUAGGAAACUGGACCAACUAAGAACUAGAGCAAAGUUGAAGACAAGUCGAAAUAUUUUAAGAGUUAUUUCCCGUAAUUCCAUGAGAUUUCCUCACAGUUGGUUACUCUGCCCUCAUCCUGUGGUGCAAUGUCACACGCCUCAAGUUCGUGAUCGAUGCAGCACAACACAGAGAUGAUAAAAAUGGAGAAAAGGAUAAACCAAAUGAAACUUUCAGGAAGAAAACAAAACUCUCUUUUCUUGUCAAGAUUUGUAGAUGCCUUGCCUGAGAUAACUCUUUAAGCAUCGUUUGGGUGUCAUAUUAAGAAGAUGUUUGAAGUUUGUUAAGCAAUUGACUGAUGGAUCAGAAGGCAUCACUUCAUUCUUGAUUGGACUAGUUUGUUAACUACCUAAUAAUGUAUCUGUUUGAAUUAUUUAUGAAGUAUUCCUUUGCUAGAAUUGGGGCUGGUGAUGCACAAGAAUAAUCUCAGAGCUGAUUGCAGCGUGAGAGGACAAGCAAUGCUUUUAACACAAAGUAAGAUAAGGAACAAUUUCUCAUUCAAAGAUAAUAAAAUACAAUGGAAGGAAGAAUUCAGACUGAUCUUUAAUUUGACCUACAUUACACAGUUAUCACAUCAGAGAAGAAUCACAGACAAUCCCAAAGUCUCUGGAAGGCCUCAUCUUAAGUAAAUGCUAUCUCAGGUUUUGCACUCUGAUAUCCCUUACUUUUAUUUUUCCCUCAUGUACAAACUCACAUCAGGACUACUUUGCUAUGCAAUUAACAUGGUAACUACCUUACCUAGCUGGCAUUGCCCCUUUCCAUUUUGGGGUUUGAAAGCAUUUGCCACUUACACUCAGAUCAUGUUUUUGUGAGAGGCCACAGAGCGACUUUCUUUAAAGCUAUCAAAGCCUUCCUCAUUAUCCUUUAUGGGCUGUGCAGAAAACAUCUCAACUAUUAGACAUUUAACUGGAGUGCAGUAGAAUGGGUUUGCUGGCCCCCUCCAGUUGCUUGGGUAAAAGCUCUGUUCAUAAUCAGUUUCUGGUUUUUUAAAAUGACCCUCAAGAGGUUCCUUCCGGUCCACUUCAGUUCCCUUUUUAGUGUCCCAUUGAUUUUCCAGACUUUAGGAAUGCGUCCUUAACUGCCUGCUUUCCCAUUGGCUGUCUCCACUGAAUGAGAAGGGAACACUUUGUUACUUCAUACAUGGAGACAGGAAUAUCUUGAGGACUAACACACCAUUUGUAACAGCACAGUUUACAACAGCACUUCCUAGAAAAAUUAGGUGGCUCUCUCAGAAAGGAAAGGACGAUUUCUGCACCCAAUUUACUUCCCUAACUACAAGCAACACCCUUGUUUCUUGUCAAUAAAAAGGAAGAUGAAAUAGAGUAGCAAUCACAAUACAUAAAUAAUAUUAUUUGUCUCCAGAGUGUAUAUGGAAGAGUAAUUCACUCAAAGAGCAUGCAUGAAUUAUGAAUGUCAGGAAGGCAGGGAGGGAACUUCAGGACAGACCUAUCACUGCUGCUGUUCCACGAAUAAAGUCCGAGAAGCCACAUAACUAUGUGAUGGAAUUGCAAAAGUAUAUAAUUUUAAUUUGACUCUUUCCUAGCUCUCAAUCUCAUUUCAAAGGAGAAUAGGGUGCUAAGAACCUAUAAAUCUAAAAAUAGGUAAUCAAUAUGAAAUCUGAAAAAGCCUCCUAGGAAUGGUGAGAUUUUCAAAGAGAUGUCCCCUAACCAUACCUAUCUCCAAAACGAUAUGAAACAAACCCCAAAGCAAAACAAAAUAUCAAUAGAAAACCUUGAAUCCUAAACUUUACACAGAAGUGGGAGGCAGUAGCAUAAGUUAGUAGAAAACUUGGGCAUUUAUGUGGCAUUUGGUAGUGCAGCACUAUGGUCUCUGUCCUAAUCUGAAACUCAGGGGCAAAAUGAUUACUAUUAUUGCUACAAAGAAAAAGAGUACUCAUGUUGUAAUAUAAAGUGUUAUGGGUUCUUUUUAAAGUUCAGUGAUUAAAAAAAAAACGGUAAUCAUUUUCCAAAGAAAAUUCUUAAACAAUCAGAUCAUAAGUCCCACAAAUAAAAAUAUGCUGGAGACCUUCAGUCUUGUCACAGAGUACAGUAUUCAUAUGUUUCCUAUUUACUUAUCUUUUCCUUCUGUAUCUUCCAUGAGGUUCUUUUGAACUAAACAGUGAGGGAGAAUUUAGAAGUCUGGGGGGAAAAAUCUUUUCUUCCUUCAGAA
Molecule: long non-coding RNA, 2305 nt
Organism: Marmota monax (woodchuck)
Lineage: Eukaryota; Metazoa; Chordata; Mammalia; Rodentia; Sciuridae
Exons: 4
Source: RefSeq, a predicted model, not a curated record